Molecule: ribosomal RNA, 301 nt
Filed under: uncultured bacterium
Lineage: Bacteria
Description: partial 16S ribosomal RNA
Rfam family: Bacterial small subunit ribosomal RNA
Source: RNAcentral
CAGUCGCCACGGGAAUACGAAGGGUGCAAGCGUUACUCGGAAUUACUGGGCGUAAAGCGUGCGUAGGUGGUUCGUUAAGUCUGAUGUAAAAGCCCUGGGCUCAACCUGGGAAUUGCAUUGGAUACUGGCGAGCUAGAGUGCGGUAGAGGGUAGUGGAACUCCCAGUGUAGCAGUGAAAUGCGUAGAGAUCGGGAGGAACAUCUGUGGCGAAGGCGACUGCCUGGACCAGCACUGACACUGAGGCACGAAAGCGUGGGGAGCAAACAGGAUUAGAUACCCGUGUAGUCCCUGUCUCUUAUAC